Non-coding RNA from Poecilia reticulata (guppy), 568 nucleotides. Lineage: Eukaryota; Metazoa; Chordata; Actinopteri; Cyprinodontiformes; Poeciliidae. The record is from RefSeq and is a predicted model, not a curated record.
GGCAGAUGUGGUGAACUUGGACCAAAGGACUGGGAAGUGAACAAGCAAUGGUUCGGCACAUUUUUCGUUGCUAAAUAUGUCAAGGAAAAACAAACUCUUCACUAUAUGUUGAAACCCAUGGGGAUUCUGGGUGAUUCAGCAUGGGAGCCGUUCAUGAAGAGGAUCGGACCAGAUCUGAUUUUCAAGAGCCACCUUCACAUCCUGCUGGACUAAGACCAAGACUGUCACCGCAUCCACCAUGACUGUCAAGAACAAGGAAGCUCAGCCAUCUAUGCACAUGGAGCAUAAUCCAAGAUGGUUCACGCUUGCUGGUCAUCAGCUAAUCAAGGGUAUUCAGCUUUCACCAUCUGGCUGUUACAGCCCGUCUUCAGUCCAAUCCAGCCUUGUUGUAGAUGGUCUUUCAGAAAGAUGACAGAUGAAAAAGCGAGGGAAUGAGAAAACAUUCGAGGCAGAGGGCAAUGGCUCCAAAACCCAGACGGACCUGGCGCAACCAAUCUCGGCUUCACAGGCUCAAGUUGAGAUGAUGGCAUUCUGAUAGCAGUCCAAGCAAAUUGCUGCACCUAACAGG